RNAcentral lists this transfer RNA (65 nucleotides) under Macroscytus gibbulus. RNAcentral's name for it is "tRNA-Tyr". The record is from RNAcentral. Lineage: Eukaryota; Metazoa; Arthropoda; Insecta; Hemiptera; Cydnidae.
GAUAAAGUGGCUGAAGUAUUAGGUAAUAAAUUGUAAAUUUAUUUAUGGUUGUAAACCCUUUAUCA